Long non-coding RNA from Taeniopygia guttata (zebra finch), 5068 nucleotides. The record is from Ensembl. NCBI's taxonomy places the organism in Eukaryota, Metazoa, Chordata, Aves, Passeriformes, Estrildidae.
UGAAGCAGGUUAUAAAACAGUGGUCUGUUUGGGUUCUCUCAAUUUUUCUUCAAUUCUACAGUUCCUGUGUUCAGUUCUCUGAAUUGUUUGUUAUUUGUGUUGCUUUGCAGCAUGAGGCAAAGGCCCUACCAAGGCAUUCUUGAAAGAAGCUGAUUCUCUUGUAAAGCCUGUUGGAGUUUCCCAUUUGUGUAGCCGGUAAUUGAAGUGUUGGCCAUGAGUAUAGGACCUCAUCCCUGCUCCAAGGAGGCAACAUGUGAGGCUGGUUCCUCCUUGGGGGCAGAAUGCUUUAAAUGCCACCCAGUCAUUACUGGGCAUAGGUCUCCAAGUGCAGGCAGCAAGUGUGGGGAAACUGUUGACAUAACUACCAAAUUUGGUACUAGCAGAAAUCCUGACUAAAUUGGCAUCAGAUACCAGAAUAGGGCUAUUGUCACUAAUUAAAAGGGUCUAAUUUAUUCUUGCUUAUGCAUCUAUUUUGCAAGAACAGAAGGGAUUCAAAAGAGGAGAGCAAACUGUUAAGCUCUUCUCACACCCUUUUAUUCAUUUGUCUCUGCUAUUGACUGUUCAGCAAGACUGCUACACAAUUACGGGUCUGAAGAUGAAAACAAAUUUCUUAAAUUCCACACAAAUGUUUUGGCAGCCAUGGGAGAUCACAGCAUUCCCCCGCAGAUAUGGGCCUGGUGCCUGGAGAUAGUUAGGACAGUGUCCAAUUUUUUUUUACCCUUUCUUGUCCUGAAAAAAAAAAAGAGUAUAAGCUUAAUUUGUAAAGUUACAGACUGAAGAUAGGCAAAGGAAGGCUGAGUUAUGCGUACGUACCAUCCUGAGUUAGCAGAACUUCGAAUUAUUUUGGGUCUUUCAGGCUCAAAAGUUCAGCGCUACACGAUAUCCCAACUGUCUCUGCUGCCACUUGUGCAGCGGAAUGGUCCGAGAGCAAUCCAAUUGACACCAUAGAGAAGGCAAUGUAAUGGCUGCACACCCCAGGGCAGCACAGGGCAGACUGCCUGCUCACAGUAGUUAUUUGCAUGAGCUUCGGACAUGGCCAAGGCUGUCUCCAAGUGUGAGAGUGCUGGGUGCUUUAGGCACUUGUUUGUGACCCCAGCUGACCACGGUGUUAAAAGAAGGAGUUAGUAAAAAGGGCAAUAUUAGUGUCUUAUCUCUUCCUGAUAAUUCAAGUACUAAGUGCUUUAAACUACCACAUUUGACUGCUUUUGAAGCAGUCAUGGUUUUGAAUUUGUAUUUAUGAAAGUUGAGCAACCCUUAGAGAAAAAGAUGUAGAAAGACAAACAGUAGGAAUUUAUUUCUCUAUCUCUGACAUUGUCUCUACAUGGCUUACAUGUAAAAGUCUACUUGAAGGGGGAGUAAAACCAGGGUACAGAUGAACAAAAUAAAAAGGUAAAUAAAUUGGCAAAGUCAGUCAAUGAUUUACCUGGUUUGACUGAUGGACCACUUUCCAAAACACCUCCUUACUGAAAUGGUAAAUAAAUCUGUUGUCUUUUUCACUCAGAAUAGCAGCUACUGGCUGCAGUGUAUCAUCUGGCUUGCAUUGCUAAAUGGCUCUCAGAGACUUCAUAACUCUUCUAUGCCUCUGUUUCCACUUACAAGGACAGCUGGCAGUUGGCUAAUUUUUUUUUCAUUUUAGCUGUUUGCUGAAUAUAGUUUUGCUUUCCAAGACAUGCAGCCUUUUUUUGAUUUGAAAUAAUAAUAAAAUGCAUGAAAUUUUUACAUCAAAUAUAAAAUAAAAGGAGUGGUUUUUUUGUUUGUGGUCUGAUUAUUUACUGGGCGAAUGCAUUCAUUUUAAAGAUCUUAAAAAAGGUGAAUAGGAUAAUGUACUUAGUACAAAUAGUAUAAAUUCACUGUGUGGAAUCUGCACUGUUACUGUGAAAUGGAAAAGGUAAAAAAUACCUUAGCUGCUUUCAGAUUAUUUGAUACAUUUCAUUUUAAAAAAUGAACUUUCAAGGCAUAAUACAAAGUUACUGUUGUGCAUGGUUACUGCAAGUAAGUAUUUUUUCUAUUAGAGAUAAAAUAUAUUAUAGAAAUUUAAAAACCUUGAUCUAGGUAUCAGGACUCAAAACACCCGAUUCUGUAGCAAACAACAUCAGGACACAAUAAGGACUUUUAAACUUAAGUAUAGUUAUGUAUAAAUAAACAAGUAAACACCAGCUCUUCAUGCCAUAUUUCUAUAUUUAUUGUGUAUGGUAUGUAUUCGAGUAAGUACAUAUGUUUGCUUUGACUCUUUGCAAAAGUACUUUAAACACAAAUCAUACAAUCACAGAAUGGUUUGGGUUGGAAGGGACCUUAAAGGUCAUCUAGUUCCAAUCCCGCUGCCAUAGGCAGAGAUACCUUCCUCUAAACAGACCAGGUUGCUCAAAGCCCCAUCCAACCUGGCUUUGAAAACUUUUAGGGAUGGGACAUCCACAGCUUCUCUGUGCAACUUGUUCUGGUGUUCUGCAUCUUGAUAGCAAAAUUUUUCUUUCUUAUAUCUAACCUAAACCUACCUUCUUUCAGAUUAAGGCCAUUCCCCCUUGUCUUACCAAUUACUUGCGUAAGGAGUCCUUCUCCAGCUCUCUUUUUGGCCCCUUUAGGUACUGGGGGCAGCAGUUAGGUCUCCCCAGAGCCUUCUUUUCUCCCAGCUGAACAAGCCCAGCUCUUCACAGGAGAGAUCCUCCAGCCCUCAGGUCAUCUUUAUGGCCCUCCUCUAGACUCUGUCAGCAGGUCCAUGUCCUCCUUAUGCUGGGGAUACCAGAGCUGGAUGCUGUACUACAGGUGGGGUCUAAUGAGAGUGGAGCAGAGGGGCAGAAUCCCCUCCCUUGCUCUGCUGGCCACGCUGCUUUCAUGCAGCUCAGGACCCGUUUGGCUUUCUGGGCUGUGAGCACACAUUGCUGGGUCACAUUGAGCUUCUUGUCAGCCUCUGGUUUAGAAACAAGGAUAUCAUGUGAGAUCUUUCAAAUGUUUUGCACAAGUAUUUUGCAGGUAUAUGGCAUCUGCAUCCAUCAACAUUCUAAGCCCACUGCAGGUCACCAAAUUUGUCAGGCACAAUUUGCCCUUAGUAAAGCCAUAUUGGCUGUCACCUAUCUCCUCUUUAUUAUAACCAUGCCAGGUAUGGUCUUUGGAAAGUUUUAGAUGAUGCAAAUAGAUGCAUCAUCUAAAUAGAUGUAAAAAGAAAUAAAAGUCUAACACUGAGAAUCCCUUCUGGACUGAUGUUUGGGAGCUCCAAAUGUAGAAAUCUUUUCAGAAAAAAAAGCACUUGACACAAAAACAUUGAAAAAAAAAAAGAAAAUUUGUGCUCCUAGAAAGUAUUCAUUCUGCUUUUUUAAUGUAGUAAACUACUAAAUAGUGUGCAAGCCUAUAUAUGCUUAUUGAUUUAGAGCAUGAAAUUUGGAUUUCUUAAGAGGAAUGAUACAAAUAUUUUUACUAAUGUUCAAUAACUUACAGAGGAUCUAUUAAAUAAAUUUUGAAGUGUACUAUUGAUAAAGAAUUAAUUGAUUCAAAUUAGAAGAAAUUAGGAAAUUUUCAAAGUAUCACACCACUUCCUACACAGUUUACAAAGCAGCUUACUUAAUUUUGUGCACUGUUGUUCUAGAUGUUUUUCCUAUUUCUAUUGUCCUUGGGUGUUACUGUGAUUAUAAACAAUAACUGAAAAAUAUUUUAAGCUCCUGCUUGAAGUAGGUUAGACAUACUACAAUGCUAAACAAUGAGAACUAGAUAGGAAAGGAAUGGGGGAAGGUAAUAUUUUGGUUGUCAAUGAAAACUGAUUUAGAGAAUUUUUCUUAACGUUUUUAUACAUUAGGAAAUUUGAAGGGGUAGAUGCAGUACGAGUGGAAAGCAACUGUACCAAACUAAGUCUUUUUCUUAAAAGUUAAUAGGCAGGGGAAAAAGUGAUUUCUGGCAGCAAAAGAAAAGAGUCAUUGCCUUAAGAAGUCUGAUGAUACCAUAUGUACAACACAUGGCAGCAAAGCAGUUUCUUCCUACUUACCCAACCUUGCAAUCUGUCACAGCCAAGUGCUGACAUGGCAGCUUGUAUGAAAGGGCACGUGAACAUCAAAGAAAGUGCCUUUGCCUUUGAAAAACCCUUAACUGGUCUGCAUACAGGGCAGUGUUGACACAAAUCUAUCAGCACAAAACCUUAUUGCUUUACUAACUUAAAUAAUGGUUUAAUUUUGUGAAAAAAAACAAAACCAGGGGAAUGAUAUAAAUUAUUAGGACUGCUUUUUUUAAUUUAAGUUGAUCUGAUUUAUCUCUUUAUCUAAUGAGUUGUUAGAAUGUUGGUUUCCUUUUCUGGCUCACAGUGACCGCUCUUAUGACCCUUAUGAACACACUUGCAGAAAUAUCAGAUACUGGUUCUUUAAAAAAAAUUAAUUGUCACCUGUAGUUUAUAUAGAUAGUUUUUUCUGGGAUUUGAGCUGUUUUCUGGAGGUAGUAAAUAGAAUUGAAUACUAAAGAUACAAAAGAUACAUGGCUAAAUAACUAAAUUCUAGUCAAGAAAAAGAUUAAAGAUUUCGAAUCAUUAAUAAAAGGAAAGAAUCUUGCAUCUGAUUGUAACUUUUCAUAUUAAAGACUAGGAGACCUUGUAGCCUUAAUUGUUACAUAUUGUUCAUAAACUAUUCAUGGUAAGUAAUAAAGAUAUAUAAUUAUUAAUCAAAAGAAUUUAUAAACUUAAAUCGGUAAUUAGAUACCAUCUGAUAAUGGUUUUUUCUUCAAUGAUACAAUUUAGGUAUGGCAUUUCAGUAGCAUUUACUUAUUUUCCUUAUUCAUAAGGCCAAGUUUGUAUUAAGAAGCAUUUUAUAUUUUAUCAGAUGAACUGAUAGUUAGAUUAAAUGGACAGAUUUUACAGUCUGAAAAAAAGCUUUGUGUGUGUGUAGGUUUAGCUGUUUCUUUCUCCCCAGUAGCAACAGAGGGGUUAACAAAGAUGCUUUCUCUCUGACCUUGCCUUAGUUAUAUUCUUAGAACACUGCAGAUAUAUUCUCAUUCAUUAAUUAUUGACAUAUUAUUGAACAGCACUGAAUGAAGUCCUUAACUUCAUACUUGGGUAAUGACAUGGUUGAUAGUAAUAAUAAAAAAAUUCUCCCUCUGU